Molecule: non-coding RNA, 147 nt
Organism: Gorilla gorilla gorilla (western lowland gorilla)
Lineage: Eukaryota; Metazoa; Chordata; Mammalia; Primates; Hominidae
Rfam family: Metazoan signal recognition particle RNA
About the family: The signal recognition particle (SRP) is a universally conserved ribonucleoprotein. It is involved in the co-translational targeting of proteins to membranes. The eukaryotic SRP consists of a 300-nucleotide 7S RNA and six proteins: SRPs 72, 68, 54, 19, 14, and 9.
Source: Rfam
GAUGGGUAUGGUGAUGCAUGCCUGUAGUCCUAGCUACUCAGGAGGCUGAGGCAGGAGAAUUGCUUGAGCCCAGGAGUUCAAGGCUGCAGUGAGGUAUGUUGUGCCACUGUGCUCCAGCCUGGGCAACAAACCAAGAACCUGUCUCUA